AUCUUGAAAGUCAGAAGGAAGAUGGAGAUUGAAUCAGUUAGUGGUGACAGUGAAUUCUUUCAGCCUGGAAUCACUACCAGCUCCUGUUUCACAUUGUAGUGUCAUUGCUUCCUAUGCCUCCCUCAACAACUCUUUUUUUUUUUUCACCAACACUUCUCACAGCUUUUCUUUUAAUACUCUGUUGUUAAUGGUAGCCUGUACAUGUCAGAAGUGCAGGGCAGGAGGGGGAAGAUUCCAUGGAGAGCCUUCUCCUAGUGGUUGUCACCACACUGGAAGUGAACCUUCCCAACAGUCAUCUCUCAAGGUGAAAGGAUGAGCAAGAGUAGUUCUCAGUGAACUGCUCUGGGUAGCUCUUGAGCAGUAAGUGAUAUAAAAACCCUACCAAAGUUCUGAAGCACCAGUAGAAUUGGACCCAGGAGCUCAAAAGAGUUGAGGCAGGCUCAGACCCUUCAUAUCUUUUAUCCCCUGUGUUGAAUCAGUCACAGGACUGGGAAAAACUUUUCACCCAACUGGUUCCUGGGAGAUUAAUCAGAGUUGUGUCCUUGGGAUGAUCCUUUUCAUCCUUCAUUUGAAAUUACUGUUCACUGGAAAGGAGUGAAAAAAGUAUCACGAAGGAAGCUUUCUAAAUUUCUAGUGAUAAGUUAAUUGAUGGUAGUUUAAAAAACUUGCCAAGUGGACAGUUGAAGCAGCAAGCCCAUCAGUAGAGGAAGGUCUUAGCAUGCAUCAUCAUCUGCAGUCAUCCUUCUACUUAUCAGUUUUCCAGGGAGCCAGAACAGCUGGACAGGAACAUGUAUAUUACCCUCCAGGGCUGUCAUAGGAGAUGGUGUCUUAUUAAGCUUUACAAAUAAACAACCGAGGAGUGCAUUAUCAAGUAUAUGAAGAUAAAAAUUCUAAUCGGAAAGGACUGAUCCAAUUUCUUUAGCAGUCAGUAGAAACAUUCCCACUGACUGCACGAUGGAAAUGAUGGUAGGCUUAAUAAGUGGACAUAAUCUGUUAUUCUGUCAUGAAUAUA
Chiroxiphia lanceolata (lance-tailed manakin) is the source of this 1012-nucleotide long non-coding RNA. RefSeq lists it as uncharacterized. The record is from RefSeq and is a predicted model, not a curated record. The transcript has 7 exons. Lineage: Eukaryota; Metazoa; Chordata; Aves; Passeriformes; Pipridae.